This 146-nucleotide unclassified non-coding RNA is filed under the name uncultured Leohumicola. Its description in RNAcentral is "sequence contains ITS2". The record is from RNAcentral. Lineage: Eukaryota; Fungi; Ascomycota; Leotiomycetes.
UACCCCUCAAGCCUCGCUUGGUGUUGGGGCCUGCUGUGACCGGCAGCCCUUAAAAUCAGUGGCGGUGCCCUCUGGCCCUGAGCGCAGUAAUACUUCUCUCGCUACAGGGUCCGGGAGGUGCUUGCCAGUAACCCCUAACUUUCUCU